Molecule: ribosomal RNA, 250 nt
Filed under: uncultured bacterium
Lineage: Bacteria
Description: partial 16S ribosomal RNA
Rfam family: Bacterial small subunit ribosomal RNA
Source: RNAcentral
UACGUAGGGUGCAAACGUUGUUCGGAAUUAUUGGGCGUAAAGCGCGUGUAGGUUGCCAAGUAAGUUGAAUGUGAAAGCCCUCGGCUUAACCGAGGAAGUGCAUUCAAAACUGCUCGGCUAGAGGAUGGUAGAGGAAGGUGGAAUUCCUAGUGUAGAGGUGAAAUUCGUAGAUAUUAGGAGGAAUACCUGUGGCGAAGGCGGCCUUCUGGGCCAUUCCUGACACUGAGACGCGAAAGCGUGGGUAGCAAAC